This 415-nucleotide ribosomal RNA is filed under the name uncultured bacterium. Its description in RNAcentral is "bacterial SSU rRNA". It matches the Rfam family "Bacterial small subunit ribosomal RNA", at positions 355 to 768 of the family's 1533-position model. The record is from RNAcentral.
UAAGGAAUAUUGGUCAAUGGACGCAAGUCUGAACCAGCCAUGCCGCGUGAAGGAUGAAGGUCCUCUGGCUUGUAAACUUCUUUUAUCUGGGACGAAAACGGGAUUUUUAUCUCAAUUGACGGUACCAGAGGAAUAAGCACCGGCUAACUCCGUGCCAGCAGCCGCGGUAAUACGGAGGGUGCGAGCGUUAUCCGGAUUUACUGGGUUUAAAGGGUGCGUAGGUGGGCUUAUAAGUCAGUGGUGAAAUCUCCGAGCUUAACUUGGAAACUGCCGUUGAUACUAUAGGUCUUGAAUUAUCUGGAGGUAAGCGGAAUAUGUCAUGUAGCGGUGAGAUGCUUAGAUAUGACAUAGAACACCAAUUGCGAAGGCAGCUUACUACAUAUAAAUUGACGCUGAGGCGCGAAAGCGUGGGGAU